GACCGGUCUGUUUCGUUUGCGAAAGAAAGGAAUCUAGCCCUAUCUGCAGAAGCUUUGGGAAUGUCUUCUUUGCAUAGCAGAAUGCGUGAGUUCCUGAACACUUCAAUCAUACCUCUCUACUGACAAUGGAAGUAGAAUCCAUACCCCAUAGAGCCCUAUGGGGUCACCUUACGAGCAGAUGUGUUCACAACUGCAAAUGAUCAAACAUCUGGGAAAUGUAUGGUUCGCAAUCAUUUCUAAAAACUUCUCUCUCGUGGAUGGAACAUUUAUAAAAGCAAAAAGAGCUGCAAAGACAUCUAUCAGUUUGGAUAUGAAAUAGUCUCAACUGGAUUUUUUGAAAGUGCAUUUUAAGCUGGGAGGGAGGGGUAGAAAACAUGACAGCUGACACGUGUAUAUCAGGAUACGCUGGGAACUGCAUUGAGGAGUGUUUACCUGCUCUUCCACCAUUCUACAAAGAGAAACGUGGAACGUAUUGGCAGUCUCCAAAGAGACUCAUUCAGGACCACAGAUUUGCACAACCUUCUCUGGAAACAAAUGGGGUGACAAUUCUUUUCGAUAUCUUUGCCAGUUUCUCUAUGCUUGGUUUUAAAAGGGUGUGUUUGCCUUGUAAUCGUGGGCACCAGAGGGAAGAAUAUGGGGCUGCUUGGUUUUAAAGCAGGGAUGGGUAAUCUGUGGCACUGCGGAUGUUGGGACUACAUACCCCAUCAUCCUUGACCAUUGCCCAAGUUGGCUAAAGCUGUUGGGACUUGCAGUCUGACAUCAUCUGGAGGGUCAACCCCUAUCCCUGGGUUACUGCUAAAGAGGAGGAAAUGUGUCCCCACCCACAAAGUGAAAUGAGCAUGGUUUGGGGAAAUGGCCUUAAUCACAUCUACUAUCAUGGUCUGUAAUGGUUAAACUUACUGAACCAAACCUAUAUCUGAAAUCUCUAAGGAUGAUCUCUCAGUGGCUUUUACAAGUUUUUUCUCCAUCGGCUUCACUAUGGCUUGCCGUGAACGAACAAGCUUGCUUGUGCCCAAAGAGAAAAUUGUGCCUGCGUUUCUCCUCCUGCAACCAACUGUUGAUGUUCCAUGGUUUCUCUCGCUCCCCCAAAAGACCUAAGUUCUAACCAAAGUUUGGUCUUGGUUUAGCACUCAUGCUUUAUUUGGGGGACUCAGAUUUAACAUGACAUCAGAACUUGGGGAGGAGCACAGCGGGUGUAAUUUCUGUCUGGGCACCAGGGCCAAAUUUUGGCUUGCUGUUGCGUGUGAAACGGGCCACAGGCCGCAUUUGCACAUGACUAAAGCCAUGCUAAACCAUGGUUUGGCCAACUAAACCAUGGUUUCGUCAACAAACGACAAGCCGUCUCACAGGGAAGCGGAGAAACAUGGCUUGUUUCCCCAAAGCUGCUCCUGGUCUUGGGCCUCUGCAAGUAGGGUGUCCAUACAAAGCAUGGUUAAAUAGGGUUGUUGGGUUUCUAUGUAAUGCCAACCUCUAGUUUAAAACAAGCCAUGGUUCAUAAGCCAACAGCAAAAAGGCUUCACAUCGUGGUUUAUUAACAGAACGCAAAACAAGGUUAGUCUGCUGGGCUGGGUUCAUAUGCUUAAACCAUGACCCAGUGUUAUGUGUGAACUGAGGCGAUAUUGGCUGAAUGCUGGAGAUCAGAAUAUCAGGUCUUUUGGUCAACACUUGGGGGGGAUGAGUUUUUAAAAAACAAAAAGGCACUACAGAAUGAACACAGGGGGAAACCCACUAAACGUCCAAGGCAAGCCACACCAAAAUUCAGAAACUGAAUUCAACGUGGCUUCUACAGAAAAUUUCCCCAGGUGCUGUACUUACCUGAAGUUGAUGUACCGUAUUUUUUGCUCUAUAAGACUUUUUCCCUCCUAAAAAGUAAGAGGAAAUAUGUGUGCGUCUUAUGGAGCGAAUGCAGGCUGCGCAGCUAUCCCAGAAGCCAGAACAGCAAGAGGGAUCGCUGCUUUCGCUGCGCAGGGAUCCCUCUUGCUGUUCUGGCUUGUGGGAUUCAGAAUAUUUUUUUCUUGUUUUCCUCCUCCAAAAACUAGGUGCGUCUUAUGGUCUGGAGCGUCUUAUAGAGGGGAAAAUAUGGGUAAUUCAGUCUUCUCUGAAAUAAAGGAGCCCUACCAAAUCUCGUUCUGUUCUUCUAUGAAACAUCUGGGUUCUGCAGUGCAGAUGUUCGAAUGUCAGACUUAGAUCAGGGAGACCCGGGUUCAAAUUCCCACUCAGCUAUGAAGCUCGCUAGGUAACCUUUUGCGGCUGCUAUCUCUCAGCCUGACCUACCUAACAGGAGGCUAAAAUUCGGGAGAACAACAUAAAGUGCAUUGAGCUCAUUGGAGGAGAUUGGAUAGAAAUACAACAGUUUUUAUACCCAGUUUUAAGGCCAGCAAUAUGGCCUUUAAAAUGCUUUCUAGAACAAACUAACAAACCCAAACUAGGCAACUGCUUUCAGUGCAAAUAAUUAGACCUGUGUAAUACGGUAUACAUAGAGGGUAAAUAAUGAAACUGCUCAUUGCCCUUUAUUGGGUAGGUGUCUUGAAUGUGUGAAUGUUUGAAAACUCCUUAUGUGCAAGUACAGAAUUUCCCUUAUUCCUUAUUCAAACCUAUUCCCCCAAAUGAAGGGAGGCAAGAUAAAUCCAUCACACCCCUCCGAUAUUCGGUGGUAGUCAAGACUGAGUGUGAAAGUGCAGGAAAAUGUGGCGAGUUUGGGCUCUGAUCGAACUUCCUGCGAAUCUCGGCUUUACUUUUUUUAAAAAAACCAAAAACGCACAUCAAUUUUUUUGUGCGUAUGGCUGUGAAGAAAUACUGUAUCGUGCAUAGCCAAUACCUGCUGAGAUUUUGGGGGAGCGUGGAAAGGGAUCUGAGCAAGAUUCUGAGAAACAGGUAGGGGCAAGACUACUGAACAAAGCAGCUUUCAUCUCACGGAGUUAUGUAAAAUAAAAUAAAAAUCAGUAGAAAGGGAUAGAGCAAAUAUUCUUCAUUGGUAUGGUUUAUACUAGUUGCAAGAAUCUGCUUUUUUGAUGCAGAUGUUUGGAUUACCGAACUAUGGAUUAUUAUUUUUUAAAGUGCAGCAGAUCUUAAGUCUGGUCCAGAAGGGCUCUUAUUAAAACUAGUCAAAUUCAUGGAGGAAAGGUCUUAAAUUGUUUUAAAAAAAUAUUUAGCUGUAGUGAAGCUAAAUGGAGCUUCCGCGUUCAAGUGCAAUCUACCUUCAAAUACCAGUUGAGGGGGGAGUAGCAGUCCUACUUGAGGGCUUCCCAGAAGCAGCUGGCUGGCCACUGUAACAGAAUCGUAGAAUUGCAGAGUACAACCCCCUACAAUGCAGGAAUCUCAGUAUCAGAAAAAGGAAAUAAAAAUUCUGGAUUAGAUAAACACUUAUUCUAAAUAGUUAUGCAUCCUCUCCUAUUGAUUCACUCCGGCCGAAUCAUAAUCAAAACUCACUUUGCGGAGCAUUUAAACAUUUUGGGCGUUUUUGUCCUCCAUGUACCGAAAACUGCUACAUUUUUGGCACCUAAAGUAUUUUCUUCCCCUGGAAGAGCAAGGCACAGGUUUGUAAAAACCUAGCUUUUCCUUAACCAAAUGCUGAAUUUGUGCAAUUGCGCUUUUUAUCCACAUUCUCUGAUCGGUUUUGAGACAUUUUUUGCAGCUGGGGUGGGGUGGAAUAGGUGGGACUCCAAUAAGGGAAUGUAAAUUGGAUUUUGCUUUGAGCUAAAAUUAGUCGAUUGAAUGAUGAAGGGGAAGUGGGGGGAAGGACACACCUUUGCAUGAAAUUUGCAUAUGCUGAUUUAAAUGUAUAGCUGUAAAUUUAGAAAUGCAGAAAGCACGUCAAAGUGCAAGUAGAUAAAUAGGUACAGCUCCAGCGGGAAGGUAAAUGGCGUUUCCGUGCGCUGCUCUGGUUCAACAGAAGCGGCUUAGUCCUGCUGGCCACAUACCCGGAAGCUGUAUGCCGGCUCCCUCGGCCAGUAAAGCGAGAUGAGCGCCGCAACCCCAGAGUCGGCCACGACUGGACCUAAUGGUCAGGGGUCCCUUAACCUUUACCUAAAUUUAGAAUAGCUGAAAGAAGUGCAGUCUAUCUCACCACGGUGGGGAAGGCUAUGACCAAGUUACCUGCAUGCGCCACAACUUCAACGCCCCUCAUUUCUCCCUUCGUAGGACUCUUUAUCUUUCAGAUAGACUUAGGACUUUCCCCUUCACAUACUCUAUUUAAUAAACAGAGAACUGUUCUUUGACAGGUGUUUAAAUGGACUGCAAAAAAUAGGACCUGUUGCCUUUCUCUGAAUAAAGUAUAAUGGUACAAAUCCAUCACUGAAAAAUGUAAAAAGGACUAUAGAUCUAAUAAUGGAGAAUUAUAAUGGGCAGACUUGAUUAAAGAAGCACUUUCACACAGUAAAAUGUUUUGCAUCAAACUGGAAUGGCGAUACUGUAAGAUAUUUUAUUUAAGCGCUCAACAAUCUGAGCAACGUUUUGCCAUGUGUUUAAGGAACAGGAAACAGUUGUUUCAUGCUUUCUGUUCCUCCGUAUUGACCUAAUAUCAGAAACAUAUCCGUUUGCGAUGGAGAGAUAAAAUCUUCUUUUUUUUAGCAAUACCACGAUGCUGAUAAAUUAAGGUAGUUAUAAAACGGGUGGCUUUUGAACCACAAGAUGUGUUGCUGUGUCACACAGUGGUGAGAUUGCGACAGGGUUAACCAAUUUGCAAAGGUUGAAAUCCAAAACUGAUAAUAUAAACGCUAGGAUUUCAUAAUGUUGUUUGAUGCCCCCCUCCCUGGCAGAAAGCUGUGCAAUCUAUUUCUUUCCAUUCAUCCCUUACAUUUGCAAACCACCUUUCUUCCAAAGGGCAAAAAUCAGCAUGUGUAAUUCUCCUCUUCUUCUCUCACUUUCUCCCUCACGACAACCCUGAGAGGUAGGUUUCUGCUGCUGUACCAUAAAAUGGAAAAUGGUGUACUAUUUUAGAGCAUACCUCAGUACAAUUCCUAACCUCUCAUUCCUUCCUCUUGCCUCAAAGACUUUUGCUUACAGGUGUGAUGUAUAUGUCAGAGGAGAGAGGAAAAAAAAUCAAUGUUCGACAUAUUUACAAAUGUAAAUACAUGUGGGGUUUUUCUUUUUGUAUAUUCCUUGUAAUAGAGCAUGCCAUUAUCAAAGUGAAGUUUCCCGUCAUCAAGACCGGGCACAAAACAGCACACACCUACAAUUUCCUUGUGUUUAAAAGUGGAGCUCCCCCGUCCAAAAACAUUCUUGUAAAACUGCGAGGACGAAUUAAGUCCUCCACCCCUGUCCUAAUGUGUUUCGUAUUUAGGUGAUUUAACUCUAGGAAAUACAGUUUGCUGUUAACGGCGUGUGGCGGCGGUCAUUUUUCUUGCUUUGAAGCCAAGAAAACCUGUGGAUAUUUCAUUAAAAACGCCGAGUCUUCAACAAGAAAUAUGUCUGUUGUAUUUAAAGUCAUAAAAAUUGUUUUUCUAAAAAAAGAUCUGCCGUACUUCCCGAGGUAGCAGGAGUUUUCGGAACAGCCUUUACCAAAACCAGGCAGGCAAGAUGCGAUGAAAAAUAGCAACUGGGAGCAGGAGGCAUGCAAACCAUUUUUCUCAGGCUGGCAGCAGACGGGAGAGUCUUGCUCACCUCUAACUACAGAUGUCAGAGGUGGAACAUGUGCUCUUCUGCUGAACUUCAGUCCUCAGAGACAGGCGUCUUUCCCAGACCCACCCAGAGAUGAUGGAGGCUUUUUACAACGCCUUGUUGUUGUUUUUUUAAAAAAGUUAUUUGAAGUGUUUUAGCUGACCUCCUAUCACAUUUACUUUCUGCCCUAGAUGGUGAGUGGGUGAGCACUAGCAGAAGGGAACGUCAUUUGUUCUUGGCAGUGACUUCCUCACUCAUACGAACCGCCUGACUCCGAGGAACGUGACGGGCGAGUGUGCCGGAUAAACUUUGCCGCAUACCACUGUAACUAAACUAUGACUUAUAAGUGUACAGUGCGCAACUGAAAGAGGAUUAGCGGCUGCUUUUAUGAGAAACGCCAAAUGUGCAGGUGGAAAGAGGCAAGACGUCCUUGGUGAGAUGCGGCAAGCUCUGGGCGCCCAUUGCUGUCUUUUCCACAAACACGGAUUAAAAAUGGG
Podarcis lilfordi (Lilford's wall lizard) is the source of this 6095-nucleotide non-coding RNA. Lineage: Eukaryota; Metazoa; Chordata; Lepidosauria; Squamata; Lacertidae. The record is from the annotation of a GenBank genome assembly.